GAUGUAUUCUGAGAUACAUCGGAAAACGGGACUCUUCUGCUGCUUUUUAUGCCAAACCAUAUAAUGAAAUUGUAAAUUAUGUUGAAGAUACCUAUAGUGGAUUAUUUAUAAAAAAAGAUGUUGAAAAUUCUUGGGAUUUUAUUUGCAUCUUAUGUCUUGGACUUCUACAACCAUCUACAUCACAUGCACUUAUUACAAAGAUAUGUGAUCUUGUCAAGUCAUCUGAUCAUGAAUUUUUCAAUUUCACCACAGCAAUCACAUAUCCUUUGGUGCUUACUUUUCGCCAUGUAAGCAUUCAUUGUGGAUGCAUCUGAAAGAAAAGCUCAG
Molecule: long non-coding RNA, 327 nt
Organism: Xenia sp. Carnegie-2017
Lineage: Eukaryota; Metazoa; Cnidaria; Anthozoa; Malacalcyonacea; Xeniidae
Exons: 4
Source: RefSeq, a predicted model, not a curated record